GGUGCGUCUUGUUGAAAUUUCAUGAUGGUUUCUUGCAUGGACACACUGGCAAUGCAUUUGAUGCAGUCGCAAUGUUUUGCUGGUUUGUUUUUGUGUAAAGGCAAUCUAUAUUGUCUGCUUUGAGGAGUUUCAUGCUUCUUAGGGUUCCCUUGUUCCAUUUGAUUGGUUUGGGUUCUUUGGGAAAAUAAUGUCCUUGGUGAUGUUUUGCUUGAGUAUGCUUAUCUCUUAAACCUCUCUGGCUGUCUUUCUCCUCCCUUUUGUGUGUAUUCUUUUUGCAUUUGAUGUACUUUUGUGUGUAAAAAAAAGUGUUUGCAAAUUCUAUAGUUGUUACAGCGUUAGUUUUGAGGCGGGGUUGUUGCUACUAUAGUGAGUGAUUGCAUGCUUGAACUGGAGGUAGAAACCUGCCUGUUAUUAGAAGGAAUUUGUAUAAUGGCCCUGGUGGAGUUAUUUUUAUGUUGAAGGUGUUUUUUAUGGUGGUUUUGGCAUUUUUUCUGUAACAAAUCCAAAUAUCUGCCUUUACCUAUAGAACUUUAAGUUGAUUCUAUUCUUUAAAUUCGUGGAAAUUUUAAAUUUAAACCAAUUUGGGGAAUUUCUGGUGCACUUAUUCAGUUAACUUUAAUUUGGGAUUUUGUUGUUAUCAUCAUCUGUGCUCAUUCAAUUACCUUUAUUCUUUUUAUAUUGUCUUUCACCAGGUGAUCGUGUGAAGUAUAUAGG
This 714-nucleotide unclassified non-coding RNA is filed under the name Hevea brasiliensis (rubber tree). The record is from RNAcentral. Lineage: Eukaryota; Viridiplantae; Streptophyta; Magnoliopsida; Malpighiales; Euphorbiaceae.